This 253-nucleotide ribosomal RNA is filed under the name uncultured bacterium. RNAcentral's name for it is "partial 16S ribosomal RNA". It matches the Rfam family "Bacterial small subunit ribosomal RNA", at positions 524 to 776 of the family's 1533-position model. The record is from RNAcentral.
UACGUAGGGUGCAAGCGUUGUCCGGAAUUAUUGGGCGUAAAGAGCUCGUAGGUGGCCUGUCGCGUCGGCUGUGAAAACUCGGGGCUCAACUCCGAGCUUGCAGUCGAUACGGGCAGGCUAGAGUUCGGCAGGGGAGACUGGAAUUCCUGGUGUAGCGGUGAAAUGCGCAGAUAUCAGGAGGAACACCGGUGGCGAAGGCGGGUCUCUGGGCCGAAACUGACGCUGAGGAGCGAAAGCGUGGGGAGCGAACAGG